GGUUAAGCGACUAAGCGUACACGGUGGAUGCCCUGGCAGUCAGAGGCGAUGAAGGACGUGCUAAUCUGCGAAAAGCGUCGGUAAGGUGAUAUGAACCGUUACAGCCGGCGAUGUCCGAAUGGGGAAACCCAGUGCAAUUCGUUGCACUAUCGUUAACUGAAUACAUAGGUUAACGAGGCGAACCGGGGGAACUGAAACAUCUAAGUACCCCGAGGAAAAGAAAUCAACCGAGAUUCCCCCAGUAGCGGCGAGCGAACGGGGAGCAGCCCAGAGUCUGAAUCAGCUUGUGUGUUAGUGGAACGGUCUGGAAAGUCCGACGGUACAGGGUGAUAGUCCCGUACACCAAAAUGCACAGGCUGUGAACUCGAAGAGUAGGGCGGGACACGUGGUAUCCUGUCUGAAUAUGGGGGGACCAUCCUCCAAGGCUAAAUACUCCUGACUGACCGAUAGUGAACCAGUACCGUGAGGGAAAGGCGAAAAGAACCCCGGCGAGGGGAGUGAAAAAGAACCUGAAACCGUGUACGUACAAGCAGUGGGAGCACCUUCGGGUGUGACUGCGUACCUUUUGUAUAAUGGGUCAGCGACUUAUAUUCUGUAGCAAGGUUAACCGUAUAGGGGAGCCGCAGGGAAACCGAGUCUUAACUGGGCGUUAAGUUGCAGGGUAUAGACCCGAAACCCGGUGAUCUAGCCAUGGGCAGGUUGAAGGUUGGGUAACACUAACUGGAGGACCGAACCGACUAAUGUUGAAAAAUUAGCGGAUGACUUGUGGCUGGGGGUGAAAGGCCAAUCAAACCGGGAGAUAGCUGGUUCUCCCCGAAAGCUAUUUAGGUAGCGCCUCGUGAACUCAUCUUCGGGGGUAGAGCACUGUUUCGGCUAGGGGGUCAUCCCGACUUACCAACCCGAUGCAAACUACGAAUACCGAAGAAUGUUAUCACGGGAGACACACGGCGGGUGCUAACGUCCGUCGUGAAGAGGGAAACAACCCAGACCGCCAGCUAAGGUCCCAAAGUCAUGGUUAAGUGGGAAACGAUGUGGGAAGGCACAGACAGCCAGGAUGUUGGCUUAGAAGCAGCCAUCAUUUAAAGAAAGCGUAAUAGCUCACUGGUCGAGUCGGCCUGCGCGGAAGAUGUAACGGGGCUAAACCAUGCACCGAAGCUGCGGCAGCGACACUAUGUGUUGUUGGGUAGGGGAGCGUUCUGUAAGCCUGCGAAGGUGUGCUGUGAGGCAUGCUGGAGGUAUCAGAAGUGCGAAUGCUGACAUAAGUAACGAUAAAGCGGGUGAAAAGCCCGCUCGCCGGAAGACCAAGGGUUCCUGUCCAACGUUAAUCGGGGCAGGGUGAGUCGACCCCUAAGGCGAGGCCGAAAGGCGUAGUCGAUGGGAAACAGGUUAAUAUUCCUGUACUUGGUGUUACUGCGAAGGGGGGACGGAGAAGGCUAUGUUAGCCGGGCGACGGUUGUCCCGGUUUAAGCAUGUAGGCUGAUUAUCCAGGCAAAUCCGGAUAAUCAAGGCUGAGGUGUGAUGACGAGGCACUACGGUGCUGAAGUAACAAAUGCCCUGCUUCCAGGAAAAGCCUCUAAGCAUCAGGUAACAUUAAAUCGUACCCCAAACCGACACAGGUGGUCAGGUAGAGAAUACCAAGGCGCUUGAGAGAACUCGGGUGAAGGAACUAGGCAAAAUGGUGCCGUAACUUCGGGAGAAGGCACGCUGGUGUGUAGGUGAAGUCCCUGCGGAUGGAGCUGAGACCAGUCGAAGAUACCAGCUGGCUGCAACUGUUUAUUAAAAACACAGCACUGUGCAAACACGAAAGUGGACGUAUACGGUGUGACGCCUGCCCGGUGCCGGAAGGUUAAUUGAUGGGGUUAUCCGUAAGGAGAAGCUCUUGAUCGAAGCCCCGGUAAACGGCGGCCGUAACUAUAACGGUCCUAAGGUAGCGAAAUUCCUUGUCGGGUAAGUUCCGACCUGCACGAAUGGCGUAAUGAUGGCCAGGCUGUCUCCACCCGAGACUCAGUGAAAUUGAACUCGCUGUGAAGAUGCAGUGUACCCGCGGCAAGACGGAAAGACCCCGUGAACCUUUACUAUAGCUUGACACUGAACAUUGAGCCUUGAUGUGUAGGAUAGGUGGGAGGCUUUGAAGCGUGGACGCCAGUCUGCGUGGAGCCAACCUUGAAAUACCACCCUUUAAUGUUUGAUGUUCUAACGUUGGCCCCUGACCGGGGUUGCGGACAGUGUCUGGUGGGUAGUUUGACUGGGGCGGUCUCCUCCCAAAGCGUAACGGAGGAGCACGAAGGUUAGCUAAUCCUGGUCGGACAUCAGGAGGUUAGUGCAAUGGCAUAAGCUAGCUUGACUGCGAGCGUGACGGCGCGAGCAGGUGCGAAAGCAGGUCAUAGUGAUCCGGUGGUUCUGAAUGGAAGGGCCAUCGCUCAACGGAUAAAAGGUACUCCGGGGAUAACAGGCUGAUACCGCCCAAGAGUUCAUAUCGACGGCGGUGUUUGGCACCUCGAUGUCGGCUCAUCACAUCCUGGGGCUGAAGUAGGUCCCAAGGGUAUGGCUGUUCGCCAUUUAAAGUGGUACGCGAGCUGGGUUUAGAACGUCGUGAGACAGUUCGGUCCCUAUCUGCCGUGGGCGCUGGAGAAUUGAGGGGGGCUGCUCCUAGUACGAGAGGACCGGAGUGGACGCAUCACUGGUGUUCGGGUUGUCAUGCCAAUGGCACUGCCCGGUAGCUAAAUGCGGAAGAGAUAAGUGCUGAAAGCAUCUAAGCACGAAACUUGCCCCGAGAUGAGUUCUCCCUGAGACUUUAAGUCUCCUGAAGGAACGUUGAAGACGACGACGUUGAUAGGCCGGGUGUGUAAGCGCAGCGAUGCGUUGAGCUAACCGGUACUAAUGAACCGUGAGGCUUAACCUU
Molecule: ribosomal RNA, 2902 nt
Filed under: Klebsiella pneumoniae
Lineage: Bacteria; Pseudomonadati; Pseudomonadota; Gammaproteobacteria; Enterobacterales; Enterobacteriaceae
Description: 23S ribosomal RNA
Rfam family: Bacterial large subunit ribosomal RNA
Source: RNAcentral